Molecule: ribosomal RNA, 488 nt
Filed under: uncultured bacterium
Lineage: Bacteria
Description: partial 16S ribosomal RNA
Rfam family: Bacterial small subunit ribosomal RNA
Source: RNAcentral
GAUGAACGCUAGCGGCAGGCUUAACACAUGCAAGUCGAGGGGCAGCAUAAUGGAUAGCAAUAUCUAUGGUGGCGACCGGCGCACGGGUGCGUAACGCGUAUGCAACCUACCUUUAACAGGGGGAUAACACUGAGAAAUUGGUACUAAUACCCCAUAAUAUCAUAGAAGGCAUCUUUUAUGGUUGAAAAUUCCGAUGGUUAGAGAUGGGCAUGCGUUGUAUUAGCUAGUUGGUGGGGUAACGGCUCACCAAGGCGACGAUACAUAGGGGGACUGAGAGGUUAACCCCCCACACUGGUACUGAGACACGGACCAGACUCCUACGGGAGGCAGCAGUGAGGAAUAUUGGUCAAUGGACGCAAGUCUGAACCAGCCAUGCCGCGUGCAGGAUGACGGCGCUAUGAGUUGUAAACUGCUUUUGUACGAGGGUAAACGCAGAUACGUGUAUCUGUCUGAAAGUAUCGUACGAAUAAGGAUCGGCUAACUCCGUG